This 299-nucleotide unclassified non-coding RNA is filed under the name plant metagenome. RNAcentral's name for it is "partial contains 5.8S ribosomal RNA, internal transcribed spacer 2, and large subunit ribosomal RNA". The stretch from base 1 to 105 matches the Rfam family "5.8S ribosomal RNA", at positions 50 to 154 of the family's 154-position model. The record is from RNAcentral.
GAAAUGCGAUAAGUAAUGUGAAUUGCAGAAUUCCGUGAAUCAUCGAAUCUUUGAACACACAUUGCGCCCUCUGGCAUUCCGGGGGGCAUGCCUGUCCGAGCGUCAUUACGCACCCUCAAGCCCGGCUUGUGUGAUGGGCGUCUGUCCCCAAAGGGACUCGCCUCGAAUCGAUUGGCGGCCGGUACGUUGGCUUCGAGCGCAGCAGAAACGCGAACUCGGGCCCUAGCGAGCCGGCUCCCAUAAGCCACUACUCCUAGUUUUGACCUCGGAUCAGGUAGGGAUACCCGCUGAACUUAAGC